RNAcentral lists this long non-coding RNA (555 nucleotides) under Mytilus galloprovincialis (Mediterranean mussel). Lineage: Eukaryota; Metazoa; Mollusca; Bivalvia; Mytilida; Mytilidae. The record is from RNAcentral.
CAAAAUUGUCAAUUGACCCCUUAAGGGGUAAAUGUCCUUUAAUGACAAUUUUUCACAAUUUGUUCAUCAUAUUUGCUAACUUUAAAAAAUCUUCUCCUCUGAAACUACUGAAUGGAUUUGGAUGAAACUUAGCAUGAUAGUUCCUUAGAUUAUCCUGCACAAAGUGUGUGCUUCGAUUUUUGAUCCGUCAAAAAACAUGGCCGCCCUUACUUUAAAUAGAACAUAGGGGUCAAAUGACGAAGACUGGUGACCAACACUCAGUAGAUGACAGAGAGGAGGAGUCUGCCCUCAUUUAUAAAAACAGAAAAACAAAUGCCCCUUGUGGGAAUACUAUUGAAAAUGAGCCUGAGGAGUCUGUCCUCCCUAAAAAACAGAAAAACUGAGCAUGCCCCUUAUGGGAAAACUGAGCAGAUUGUACAUUUCACCUCUUGUAUUUUUUUCAAUUUUUUUUUAAUACUUUAUGCAUUAGGUCAACUAUAUUUGGUGUAUGAAAAUAUUUUAUGAUCUAUAUGUCGGUUACGCAGGUUUUAUUUGAACUUGACCUCAUUUUCACAG